This 495-nucleotide ribosomal RNA is filed under the name uncultured bacterium. Its description in RNAcentral is "bacterial SSU rRNA". It matches the Rfam family "Bacterial small subunit ribosomal RNA", at positions 29 to 507 of the family's 1533-position model. The record is from RNAcentral.
AACGAACGCUGGCGGCGUGUCUUAAGCAUGCAAGUCGAACGAUAACUCGAAGCUUGCUUCGAGGGACAGUGGCAAACGGGUGAGUAACACGUGGGUAACCUGCCUUCGGAUGGGGGAUAGCUCUAGGAAACUAGUGGUAAUACCGCAUAAUACCGAUUGGUCAUAAGACCGCUCGGUUAAAGGCGCUUUCGGGCGUCACCUGAAGAUGGGCCCGCGCACUAUUAGCUAGUUGGUAGGGUAAUGGCCUACCAAGGCAGCGAUGGUUAGCCGGCCUGAGAGGGUGUACGGCCACAUUGGGACUGAGAUACGGCCCAGACUCCUACGGGAGGCAGCAGCUAAGAAUAUUCCGCAAUGGGCGCAAGCCUGACGGAGCGCCGCCGCGUGGAGGAUGAAGGCUUUCGGGUUGUAAACUCCUUUUCUUAGGGAAGAAUAAAGUCGGCAGGAAAUGGUCGACCGAUGACGGUACCUAAGGAAUAAGCCCCGGCUAAUUACGUG